UGGCGAAGGCGCCCGGCUGGAACGGGUCCGACGGUGAGGGACGAAGGCCAGGGGAGCGAACCGGAUUAGAUACCCGGGUAGUCCUGGCUGUAAACGAUGCGGGCUAGGUGUCACCAGAGCCACGAGCUCCGGUGGUGCCGGAGGGAAGCCGUUAAGCCCGCCGCCUGGGAAGUACGGCCGCAAGGCUGAAACUUAAAGGAAUUGGCGGGGGAGCACUACAACGGGUGGAGCCUGCGGUUCAAUUGGAUUCAAUGCCGGGAAGCUUACCGGGGGAGACAGCUGGAUGAAGGUCGGGCUGAAGACCCUACCAGACUAGCUGAGAGGUGGUGCAUGGCCGCCGUCAGUUCGUACUGUGAAGCAUCCUGUUAAGUCAGGCAACGAGCGAGACCCGCGCCCUCAGUUGCCAGCGGAUCCCUUCGGGGAUGCCGGGCACACUGAGGGGACUGCCGGCGCUAAGCCGGAGGAAGGUGCGGGCAACGGCAGGUCCGUAUGCCCCGAAUCCCCCGGGCUACACGCGGGCUACAAUGGCCGGGACAAUGGGUACCGACCCCGAAAGGGGUAGGUAAUCCCCUAAACCCGGUCUAACCUGGGAUCGAGGGCUGCAACUCGCCCUCGUGAACCUGGAAUNCCGUAGUAANNNCGCCUCAAAAUGGCGCGGUGAAUAC
This 665-nucleotide ribosomal RNA is filed under the name uncultured archaeon. Its description in RNAcentral is "bacterial SSU rRNA". It matches the Rfam family "Archaeal small subunit ribosomal RNA", at positions 664 to 1325 of the family's 1478-position model. The record is from RNAcentral.